UUAUUAAAUAUUUUUGUAAAAAGCGAUUCAGGGACAAGUUACCGUCUAACACAGGCUUGCAAUGAAUCGCAGGACAAUAAGAAAACAUCCCUUUCACGAUGCUUAUUGAACAGUAAAAUAGAAAACACUGUUCAAUAAUGAAAUUAUCGUAGAAAAUUUAGCAGAACUAAGAAAACAUGCGGAAAGAAGAAGGUAUAUAUAUGCAACAUCGUGACUCCGGAUUGAAAACAUAGCUAUUCGACUGGGUUCAGUUAUUAGAAAUAACCUACUGGUUUUC
RNAcentral lists this long non-coding RNA (277 nucleotides) under Mytilus galloprovincialis (Mediterranean mussel). Lineage: Eukaryota; Metazoa; Mollusca; Bivalvia; Mytilida; Mytilidae. The record is from RNAcentral.